Molecule: RNA transcript, 2335 nt
Organism: Austrofundulus limnaeus
Lineage: Eukaryota; Metazoa; Chordata; Actinopteri; Cyprinodontiformes; Rivulidae
Gene: mansc1
Gene name: MANSC domain containing 1
Exons: 5
Source: RefSeq, a predicted model, not a curated record
UUAUUGAACCCUGACCCUUAACAAGAACCAGGUGUAUUGGGCUCAUGUUGAAGGUGGAGCUGGUUCUGAGCUCAGAUAAGAUGAAAUAAUCAGACUGUUUCCCUGACAGGAGUGGACUGUGGACCCAUAAAGUCUCCUCUCAGAAGACUGAAGUCCUGCAGCGUGGACUGUGGACCCAGAGAGCUGCGAUGGUCUGAUGGAGGUCCGGUAACUCACCGAGCUCCAUCAGUGUCUUGUCGCGGUCCUGUUGUUGAGGGACGGACAGAUCUGGGACGCAGAGACGAUCAGAGUCCAACAGAAGCAGAAGAAGUUUGGAGGAGCUGAACUUCAGCUGCUGCAGAGCGUCUGAGUCCUCUGUGAUCUGCAGCCAUGUCUCUUUGUGGCUCCGCCCACCGUCACCGGCCUGUCCUCGUCCUCCUCUGUGUCGUGGUGGUGAUGAUGUCACUCCCUGCCUGGGCCCUGGACUCAGAGACGUGUUUCUCCAGGCAGCACCAGAGCGUGACGGUGAACGUGAGGCAGGCCCUGAGCCGAGCGGCGGCCAUGAACCCUCGCCUGGUCCACUCUGAGCCGGACUGUGUUCUCGCCUGCUGCUCCGAGGACGUCCAGCCAGGUUCCCGCUGCAACAUGGCCGUCUUUAAGACCGUCCAACUGUCCAACGAUGAGAACUGUCUCCUGUUCCACUGUCCCACCGAGCUGGACUGUCCCCUGAUGAAGGCUCAGGACGGCACCAACACCUACAACAUCUACAAAGGUCUGACUCAUCCGCCCACGCAGAGGUCUGUAACGAUGACAACCACCGUCCAAUCCACGACCGCGUCCGUACCACCAACCACUGACCACAUCACCACACAGGCUCCGCCCACCACCACACAGGCUCCGCCCACCACCACACAAGCUCCACUCACUAUUACACAUGCUCCACCCACCACAGAACCUCCUCCAGCCAUCCUCAUUGUCACCUCAACACCUGCAGUUAGGUUACCAACGACCACAACAACAACAACAACAACAACAACAACAACAACCGAAGUCUCUCCAACGCUCGACUCAAAGAAACCAAACAAAAGCAGCAAAAAGCAAAACAAAACCACAAAGAAAGGAAAACCACAUCCUGUCAGCACCACCCCCCUCUUCAUGACAUCACUUCCUGUUCUAAUGGUGACCAAAGAGGUGGAGCCUAGAACUAUGGACACCACACAGUCCCACACUGAAACUACAACUACAGCUCCUCCCAAAACUUCUCCCACAACCAUCAAAACUCCUCCUACAACUACAGCUCCUCCCACAAUUCCGCCCACAACCACCACAACUCCGCCCACAACCACCACAACUCUGCCCACAACCACCACAACUCCGCCCACAACGACCACAACUCCUCCUACAACUACAGCUCCGCCCACAACCACCACAACUCUGCCCACAACCACCACAACUCCGCCCACAACCACCACAACUCCUCCUACAACUGCAGCUCCACCCACAACCACCACAACCCUGCCCACCAGCACCACUACUACUCCAACAACUACUCCGCCCCCUCCUGAGUCGAGCAGCCCCACAGCUCCACCCAGUCUCAUCAUCAUUCCCAAAGACAUCUUCCAAUCAGAUCACGUCCUGCAGUCUGGCCACGCCCUCCAGAACUCCAGCACCAGCCAGGGGAAGGGGGCUCAGGGGGCGCUGAGGAGCGGGCUGGUGGUCUUCAUGGUGCUGGGGCUGGCCGUGCUCACGCUGGCCUUGGCGGUGGGCGGGCGGAAGGCGAUGGAGUCCUUUGAUCGGCGCCAUUACACCAGACUGGAGCUGAACGACCUGCACUAUGAGAUCUGAGGCAGGAACCGUCUGCCUUCCUUCUGUGGUUGGUGAAAACUUUACAGCACAACACUGGAGCGGCUCCUCGCACGGCGCUCAGAUACUGAGCUGUGAUUGGUCAGGAGGUCUGCAGGUUUCCUCAGUCUUCUUAAAGGACCGAACCAAUCACGUUCCAUCAGGCCAACCGCCCAUUCAGGAUGGACCCUCCUACUUUGAGAAUGCUCCGCCCCGUUCAGGAUGGACCCUCCUACUUUGAGAAUGCUCCGCCCCCGUUCAGGAUGGACCCUCCUACUUUGAGAAUGCUCCGCCCCCGUUCAGGAUGGACCCUCCUACUUUGAGAAUGCUCCGCCCCUUUGGGUUGCAGAGACCUCUGCUUGGCCCAGCGCGGCCUCCCUCCACCGGGGGGCAGCAGCCUGAAUAUUUCCACAGAUGCUGAUAGUUUGGUCUCGUUUUGUGAAGUGACGCUUUUACAUAAGUUUGAAUUUGAUGUUUUGUUGUAAAGAAUAAUAAAAUUUGUGAUUUUUGAUCA